GGAGCCAUCGGAGCGGCGCGGGUUCUCAGGUGAGCGCUCCGUGGUCGCGGCGGGCGGGCCAGCGCCGGGAGCUCACGCACCGGAUCCGCGCCGGCUGCGCGGGCGUAGGCGGAGCGUACGGAGGAGUCGCGGGGGCCCUGGCCGGGGUCCGGCCCUCGGGUCUCCGGCCUCAGGCGGGAAGGGGCUCCGGACCUGCGGUGGCAGGGAGGCAAAAUGAUUUCUCUCCCCCAAGCCUGGAACAGCUGAAGGAAACAACAGUACAAGAUGAGAACCACAAAGGUCUACAAACUCGUCAUCCACAAGAAGGGCUUUGGGGGCAGUGAUGAUGAGCUAGUCGUGAACCCCAAGGUGUUUCCUCACAUCAAGCUUGGGGACAUUGUGGAGAUUGCUCACCCCAACGAUGAGUACAGCCCUCUGCUUUUGCAGGUCAAAUCACUUAAGGAGGAUUUGCAGAAAGAAACAAUCAGUGUGGACCAGACUGUGACUCAAGUGUUCCGACUAAGACCUUAUCAAGAUGUGUAUGUGAAUGUUGUGGACCCUAAGGAUGUGACCCUUGACCUCGUGGAAUUAACCUUUAAGGAUCAAUAUAUUGGCCGUGGGGAUAUGUGGCGGCUAAAGAAAAGUUUGGUCAGCACAUGUGCCUAUAUCACUCAGAAGGUGGAAUUUGCUGGCAUCAGGGCACAGGCUGGUGAACUGUGGGUCAAGAAUGAGAAAGUCAUGUGUGGUUAUAUCAGCGAAGAUACAAGGGUGGUGUUCCGUUCUACGUCGGCUAUGGUUUACAUAUUUAUUCAGAUGAGCUGUGAAAUGUGGGACUUUGAUAUUUAUGGGGAUCUGUAUUUUGAGAAAGCUGUGAAUGGUUUCCUUGCUGAUCUCUUUACCAAAUGGAAGGAGAAGAACUGUAGUCAUGAAGUGACAGUGGUCCUUUUCUCUAGGACUUUCUACGAUGCAAAAUCUCUUGAUGAAUUUCCUGAAAUAAACCGAGCCUCAGUUAGGCAGGAUCACAAGGGGCGAUUCUAUGAAGACUUCUAUAAAGUGGUGGUGCAGAACGAAAGGAGAGAAGAGUGGACCUCACUCCUCGUGACCAUCAAAAAACUCUUCAUCCAGUAUCCAGUGUUGGUGCGACUGGAACAGGCAGAGGGCUUUCCCCAAGGAGACAAUUCUACCUCAGCACAAGGAAACUACUUGGAGGCCAUCAACCUGUCGUUCAAUGUGUUUGACAAGCACUACAUCAACCGCAACUUUGAUCGAACUGGGCAAAUGUCGGUGGUGAUCACGCCCGGGGUGGGUGUGUUUGAAGUGGACCGCCUGCUCAUGAUCCUGACCAAGCAGCGGAUGAUAGACAACGGAAUUGGCGUGGACUUGGUGUGCAUGGGGGAGCAGCCACUCCACGCUGUCCCGUUGUUCAAGCUGCACAAUCGGACCGCCCCUCGGGGUUCUCGCCUGGGCGACGACUACAAUAUUCCUCACUGGAUAAACCACAGUUUCUACACAUCCAAAAGCCAGCUGUUCUGUAAUAGUUUCACCCCACGAAUAAAACUGGCAGGAAAGAAGCCUGCCUCUGAGAGAGCAAAGAACGGCCGUGAUGCCUCUCUGGGGACACCAAAGGAAUCCGAGAAUGCAAUUCCCAUCCAAGUUGAUUACGACGCUUACGAUGCGCAAGUGUUCAGGCUGCCCGGCCCGUCCCGGGCUCAGCGACUCGCCACAUGCAGGUCUGUGCGAGAGCGGGAGAGUCACAAUCGGAAGAGCUCCAGCUCCUGCGACGUGUCCUCCAGCCCGUCCUUGCCUGGCCGUGCGCUGCCCGCUGAGGAAGUGAGGAGCCAGGCUUCUGACGACAGCUCCCUGGGCAGGAGUGCCAACAUCCUGGUGACCCCUCACCCCCACCUGCACCAGUAUGAAGUCAGCAGCUCCCUGGGCUACACCAGCACUCGAGACGUCCUGGAGAACAUGGCCGAGCCGCCGCAGCGGGACUCCAGCGCACCGGGCAGGUUCCAUGUGGGCAGCGUGGAGUCCAUGCUGCACGUGCGCCCCGGGGGAUGCCCGCCCCAGCGGGCGCUGAUUAACCCUUUCGCCCCCUCGCGGAUGCCCAUGAAGCUCACGUCCAACAGGAGGCGUUGGAUGCACACGUUUCCUGUGGGGCCAUCCGGAGAGGCCAUCCAGAUCCAUCACCAGACCCGGCAGAAUAUGGCGGAGCUGCAGGGCAGUGGGCAGAGGGACCCCACCCACUCCUCCGCGGAGCUGCUGGAGUUAGCGUAUCAUGAAGCCGCUGGCAGGCACAGCGCUUCCCGCCAGCCCGGUGACGGCAUGUCCUUCUUGAACUUCAGUGGCACAGAAGAGCUUUCCGCCAGCCUGCUUAGCAGCAGCGGUGCAGGUACAAAUCCUAGGAUCCAGAAUAAGGAUUCUCUAGAGGACAGUAUUUCUACCUCUCCAGACCCAAUUCUGACGCUGUCUGCUCCCCCUGUAGUGCCAGGCUUCUGUUGCACAGUUGGCGUGGACUGGAAGUCUCUCACGACUCCCGCGUGCCUCCCCCUCACCACGGACUACUUCCCCGACCGCCAGGGCCUGCAGAACGACUACACCGAGGGCUGCUACGAUCUCCUCCCCGAGGCCGACAUUGACAGGAGGGACGAGGAAGGGGUGCAGAUGACGGCCCAGCAGGUAUUUGAGGAGUUCGUCUGCCAGCGGCUCAUGCAGGGCUACCAGAUCAUCGUGCGGCCCAAGGCGCAGGAGCCCAACCCCGCCGUCCCGCCCCCACUGAGCAGCAGCCCGCUUUACAGCCGUGGACUUGUGUCCCGAAACCGUCCUGAGGAGGAAGACCAGUACUGGCUGAGUAUGGGCAGAACUUUCCAUAAGGUGACCCUAAAGGACAAGAUGAUCACAGUCACACGAUACCUUCCCAAGUACCCUUAUGAGUCUGCACAGAUCCACUACACCUACAGCCUCUGCCCUUCCCACUCGGACUCAGAGUUCGUCUGCUGCUGGGUGGAGUUCUCCCAUGAGCGGCUGGAGGAGUACAAGUGGAAUUACUUAGAUCAGUACAUCUGCUCUGCCGGCUCCGAGGACUUCAGCUUAAUCGAGUCCCUGAAGUUCUGGAGGACCCGCUUCCUGCUACUGCCAGCCUGUGUCACGGCCACCAAGCGCAUCACGGAGGGCGAGGCACACUGUGACAUCUAUGGGGACAGGCCGCGGGCAGACGAGGAGGAGUGGCAGCUCCUGGAUGGCUUCAUCCGCUUUGUGGAGGGCUUGAACCGCAUCCGCCGGCGGCACCGCUCGGACCGCCUGAUGCGGAAAGGGACCACCAUGAAAGGCCUGCAGAUGACGGGGCCCAUCCCCACACACUCCCUCGAGUCGACCGGCCCCCCCAUUGGGAAGAAGGGAACCUCAGCUCUGUCAGCCCUGCUGGAGAUGGAGGCCAGUCAGAAGUGCCUGGGAGAACCGCAGGCGACACAUGGGGGCAAGAGCUGCGCCCCGCCGGCCGAGAGCAGCGGCGUGGCCAUGACCCCCACCUACGUGGACAGCCCCCGAAAGGACGGGGCCUUCUUUAUGGAGUUUGUCCGCAGCCCGCGCACCGCGUCGUCCGCCCUCCACCCGCAGGUGUCUCUGGACCAGACGGCCGCCCCGGUGUUGGACGGCACCAGCUUGGGGGUAAGCACAGGCCAGUCCGUGGACAGAGGCAACAGCCAGACCUUUGGGAACUCCCAGGGCUCAGGGGAACAGGGCUUCCCCUCUGCAAUCUCCAGCGACAGCAGCUCUCAGCAGCUGGCAGCCAGCUCCUUGACGUCGUCCUCCACCCUAGUGGAGAUCUUGGAGGCCAUGAAGCACCCCUCGACAGGAGUUCAGCUGCUCCCUGAACAGAAGGGGCUCUCGCCCUGCUGCUUCAUCAGUGCGGAGGUGGUGCACUGGCUGGUGAACAACGUGGAGGGGGUCCAGACGCAGGCCAUGGCCAUUGACAUCAUGCAGAAAAUGCUGGAAGACCAGCUCAUCACACACGCCUCCGGCGAAGUCUGGCGGACUUUCAUCUACGGCUUCUAUUUCUACAAGAUAGUGAUGGACAAAGAGCCUGAGCGAGUGGCCAUGCAGCAGCCCACCACCUGGCACACCACAGCCGUGGAUGACUUCGCCAGCUUCCAGCGCAAGUGGUUCGAGGUGGCCUUUGUGGCCGAAGAGCUCCUGCACUCCGAGAUCCCCGCCUUCCUGCUGCCCUGGCUGCCCAGCCGGCCGGCCUCCUACGCCAGCAGACACAGCUCCUUCAGCCGCAGCUUUGGGGGACGGAGCCAGGCAGCUGCGCUCUUAGCGGCCACCGUCCCGGAGCAGAGGACCGUGACCCUGGACGUCGACGUGAACAACCGCACGGACCGCCUGGAGUGGUGCAGCUGCUACUACCACGGCAACUUCUCGCUGAACGCAGCCUUCGAGAUCAAGCUGCACUGGAUGGCGGUGACUGCCGCUGUGCUCUUCGAGAUGGUCCAAGGCUGGCAUCGAAAGGCCACCUCCUGUGGCUUUUUGCUGGUGCCAGUUCUGGAGGGUCCCUUCGCGCUGCCCAGUUACCUGUACGGCGACCCGCUCCGGGCCCAGCUCUUCAUCCCACUCAACAUCAGCUGCCUCCUCAAGGAAGGCAGCGAGCACCUGUUCGACAAUUUUGAACCGGAAACAUACUGGGAUCGAAUGCACCUUUUCCAGGAAGCCAUUGCACACAGGUUUGGGUUUGUACAAGAUAAAUAUUCCGCCGCUGCUUUUAACUUCCCUGCGGAGAACAAGCCUCAGUACAUCCAUGUCACAGGCACGGUCUUCCUGCAGCUGCCCUACUCCAAGCGCAAGUUCUCGGGGCAGCCGCGGCGGCGGCGGAACUCGACCAGCUCCAGCAACCAAAACAUGUUCUGUGAGGAGCGGGUGGGCUACAGCUGGGCCUACAACACCAUGCUGACCAAGACGUGGCGCUCCAGCGCCACGGGCGACGAGAAGUUUGCCGACCGGCUGCUGAAGGACUUCACAGACUUCUGCGUCAACCGCGACAACCGGCUGGUGGCCUUCUGGACGAGCUGCCUGGAGAGGAUGCAUGCCAGCGCCCCGUGACGGCCGCCCGGGUGGGGACCGGCCAGGUCAGGCAGGCCCGGUGUGGGGUGGGGCCGGGGCUGCCGCCUCCCCAGCGUCCAUCCACCCCAGGAGGAGGCUUCGCAGCCUGGUUCCCGCAGCAGCAAUGCCGUCCUCAGCUGGGCAGCUAUGCACCGUCACCAGGCCCUAAUGGCGAGUGAGGCAGCCACAGACGGGAGGACUUCACAAUUCACCUGGGGACCCUGGCUGUUGCAGGCCCUUGGUGGGGAGGAGAGUUUCAGGCGGGCCUCCUGAGCAGAGAGAAAAGUCCCAGGAAAGCUUCUGUUGACUGUGAUUGACGUGAGGACGCACUGCUUAACGGGAUAAGACUCGGCAGGGCCCUCCACCUCAGCGCCCGCCCUCACCUGCCAGGGUUGGAAGGGCCCGACAGAUGCCCCCACUUCUCCUCCACCCCUGUUGAUCUGUCUCCUCAGUAGCCUGUGAAUCCGUCCCCUCCCCCAGGCCCCUGGCUGCUGCUCUCAGCCUGGCCCUCACCCCUUCCUCUCCUUCCUCCCCCUGCACAGCCAGGAGGGCCUCCCACCAUGGCUCUGCUUUCCCUCAGGCCCUUCUCCACUUGGAAGCCAGAGUCCUUUUUAAAAAUCACUCUGAUUGUGCCCCCUACUACGUAGACCUCUCUGGUGACUUGAACUUGAAAACUCGCAGAUGUGGCUUCAUGAUCUGGUCCCGUGCUAUCUCUUCAGCCAGCGGGAACAUCACCAACUCUUUAGUGGCUCAGAUCCUUUGUACAUGCUGUUCCAACUGCCUGGAACGCUGUUCCUCACUCACUCCUGGUCGUCAGCCAUCAGCUCGUAGCUCAAAGGUCCCUUGUCCAGGGAAGCUCAGUGGGACCUGGUUACAUCUUCCCACGGCACCUCGUCCUUCUCUGACCACACCCUUACGCUCAACAUGUCAGGAGCCUUGCCUAUUUUGUUCAUCCUUUUGUUCCUAAAUGUUCAGCAGAAUCGUAGAUGCUGGAGGGGCGGUUGUUGGCUAAGUGUGUAGGGUGAAUGAACGAGCUGGACUCGAGGGCCAAGCACCGGGGGUCACGUCCGAAUCUACCCCCUCACCACCUGAGCUCCCAAGUAAUGGAGCCUGCAAAACAGGUGGGUAUGAGAGGACUUAACUGACUAGCAGGCAGUAAGCAAGUGAAGGCGGGAGUCCUCUGCCCAUGCUGCUGUGCUGGCUUCCUGAGUGGUCGUGCCGGACAUGGCAGCUGCUGGCCUGUUCAGAUCAGUCACCUGGUAUCCUUGGUAUCCUGCAUGUAAGGCCAGCAGUCGUCCCUGCCUUCUGCCCUCUUCCCUCUUACAAAGAUGACUCAGGAGGCCCCGUGGGUGAUUGUGUGGGAGCAGAGACAGCCGACAAGUUAAAAUGCUGGGUCUCCCACCCUUCGGAGCUGGACCUGAAACUCACGUGCCCUCGAACUGCUUCCCGCAGCCCUCCUCUCUGCCCCGCACCUCCUGCCACCCACUUGUCCAAGCCAGAACCUGGAGUCAAACCGAAUCCUUCUCCUCCUCCUCCAUUGUCCUCCCACUGCUCCCUCCCUCCCUCCUGGCUGCCCAGGUGCAGAGCCAGCCCUCGGGGAGGGCGUGGCUUGCUUAGACUUGGAGAAUGGGUGCGGAUUGCAAGCCCACCAUCAGUUGUGUAGGUGUGAUAACCACUUCCUAGUGGAAAGAGAAAAGCAGUAGGAGGACCUGGGGUUAAAUUCCAGCCCUGCCGCCUCAGCUGCAAGAACCAAGGCUGGUUCUGUCUCCUGAGCCUGUUUCCUCAUCUGUUAAGUAGGGAUGACGUGGCCUCAGCUUCCUUCCCAGCCCCAUCCACCCACACACACCUGCACUCACACCUCUGUGUAUUUCUCUUCCGUGCUUGUGACGCCCUCAUUAUUUGCUGACCUGUUUCAGCUCACUCAGCUGGGAAUUUCUUCUGGCACAUUCUUCAGUGACAGUGGAAAGAGUGAGAUCAAAGGGGCAUGUGCAGGCAGCAGGGGCCCCUCACAAGGCCCGGCCCAUGGGAGGGACACACGAAUUGUAAGAGCGACCUUGCAGAGGUCACCUAGACCCGGCUCCCUGAGCUGAAUCCUGGAAGGCACUUAAUCAUGGUGAGAAGUGACACGCUGAGGCCCA
RNA transcript from Camelus dromedarius (Arabian camel), 7208 nucleotides. It is a transcript of the gene named DEP domain containing 5, GATOR1 subcomplex subunit, with no coding region annotated. NCBI's taxonomy places the organism in Eukaryota, Metazoa, Chordata, Mammalia, Artiodactyla, Camelidae. The record is from RefSeq and is a predicted model, not a curated record. The transcript is spliced from 44 exons.